RNAcentral lists this ribosomal RNA (1464 nucleotides) under Enterococcus faecalis. Its description in RNAcentral is "bacterial LSU rRNA". It matches the Rfam family "Bacterial large subunit ribosomal RNA", at positions 1 to 1461 of the family's 2925-position model. Lineage: Bacteria; Bacillati; Bacillota; Bacilli; Lactobacillales; Enterococcaceae. The record is from RNAcentral.
GUUGAUAAGGUUAAGUGAAUAAGGGCGCACGGUGGAUGCCUUGGCACUAGGAGCCGAUGAAGGACGGGACUAACACCGAUAUGCUUUGGGGAGCUGUAAGUAAGCUAUGAUCCAGAGAUUUCCGAAUGGGGGAACCCAAUAUCUUUUAUAGGAUAUUACUUUUCAGUGAAUACAUAGCUGAUUAGAGGUAGACGCAGAGAACUGAAACAUCUUAGUACCUGCAGGAAGAGAAAGAAAAUUCGAUUCCCUGAGUAGCGGCGAGCGAAACGGGAAGAGCCCAAACCAACAAGCUUGCUUGUUGGGGUUGUAGGACUCCAAUAUGGUAGUCUGUUAGUAUAGUUGAAGGAUUUGGAAAAUUCCGCUAAAGAGGGUGAAAGCCCCGUAGACGAAAUGCUGACAACACCUAGGAGGAUCCUGAGUACGGCGGAACACGAGAAAUUCCGUCGGAAUCCGCGGGGACCAUCCCGCAAGGCUAAAUACUCCCUAGUGACCGAUAGUGAACCAGUACCGUGAGGGAAAGGUGAAAAGCACCCCGGAAGGGGAGUGAAAUAGAUCCUGAAACCGUGUGCCUACAACAAGUCAAAGCUCGUUAAUGAGUGAUGGCGUGCCUUUUGUAGAAUGAACCGGCGAGUUACGAUUGCAUGCGAGGUUAAGUCGAAGAGACGGAGCCGCAGCGAAAGCGAGUCUGAAUAGGGCGAAUGAGUAUGUAGUCGUAGACCCGAAACCAUGUGAUCUACCCAUGUCCAGGUUGAAGGUGCGGUAAAACGCACUGGAGGACCGAACCCACGUACGUUGAAAAGUGCGGGGAUGAGGUGUGGGUAGCGGAGAAAUUCCAAACGAACUUGGAGAUAGCUGGUUCUCUCCGAAAUAGCUUUAGGGCUAGCCUCGGAAUUGAGAAUGAUGGAGGUAGAGCACUGUUUGGACUAGGGGCCCAUCUCGGGUUACCGAAUUCAGAUAAACUCCGAAUGCCAUUCAUUUAUAUCCGGGAGUCAGACUGCGAGUGAUAAGAUCCGUAGUCGAAAGGGAAACAGCCCAGACCACCAGCUAAGGUCCCAAAAUAUAUGUUAAGUGGAAAAGGAUGUGGGGUUGCACAGACAACUAGGAUGUUGGCUUAGAAGCAGCCACCAUUUAAAGAGUGCGUAAUAGCUCACUAGUCGAGUGACCCUGCGCCGAAAAUGUACCGGGGCUAAACAUAUUACCGAAGCUGUGGACUACACCAUUAGGUGUAGUGGUAGGAGAGCGUUCUAAGGGCGUUGAAGGUCGAUCGUGAGGACGGCUGGAGCGCUUAGAAGUGAGAAUGCCGGUAUGAGUAGCGAAAGACAGGUGAGAAUCCUGUCCACCGUAUGACUAAGGUUUCCUGGGGAAGGCUCGUCCGCCCAGGGUUAGUCGGGACCUAAGCCGAGGCCGAUAGGCGUAGGCGAUGGACAACAGGUUGAUAUUCCUGUACCAGUUGUUUUUGUUUGA